AGAGACCGGCGCACGGGUGCGUAACGCGUAUGCAAUCUACCUUUCACAGAGGGAUAGCCCAGAGAAAUUUGGAUUAAUACCUUAUAGUAUAGCACAACCGCAUGGUUGAGUUAUUAAAGAUUUAUCGGUGAAAGAUGAGCAUGCGUCCCAUUAGCUAGUUGGUAAGGUAACGGCUUACCAAGGCAACGAUGGGUAGGGGUCCUGAGAGGGAGAUCCCCCACACUGGUACUGAGACACGGACCAGACUCCUACGGGAGGCAGCAGUGAGGAAUAUUGGACAAUGGGCGCAAGCCUGAUCCAGCCAUGCCGCGUGCAGGAUGACGGUCCUAUGGAUUGUAAACUGCUUUUAUACAGGAAGAAACAGUUCUACGUGUAGAACCUUGACGGUACUGUAAGAAUAAGGAUCGGCUAACUCCGUGCCAGCAGCCGCGGUAAUACGGAGGAUCCAAGCGUUAUCCGGAAUCAUUGGGUUUAAAGGGUCCGUAGGCGGUCAGAUAAGUCAGUGGUGAAAGCCCAUCGCUCAACGGUGGA
Molecule: ribosomal RNA, 531 nt
Filed under: uncultured Flavobacterium sp.
Lineage: Bacteria; Pseudomonadati; Bacteroidota; Flavobacteriia; Flavobacteriales; Flavobacteriaceae
Description: bacterial SSU rRNA
Rfam family: Bacterial small subunit ribosomal RNA
Source: RNAcentral